Molecule: ribosomal RNA, 253 nt
Filed under: uncultured bacterium
Lineage: Bacteria
Description: partial 16S ribosomal RNA
Rfam family: Bacterial small subunit ribosomal RNA
Source: RNAcentral
UACGGAGGGUGCAAGCGUUAUCCGGAUUCACUGGGUUUAAAGGGUGCGUAGGUGGGUUUGUAAGUCAGCGGUGAAAUCUCCGAGCUUAACUCGGAAACUGCCAUUGAUACUAUAGAUCUUGAAUUUUCUGGAGGUAAGCGGAAUAUGUCAUGUAGCGGUGAAAUGCUUAGAUAUGACAUAGAACACCAAUUGCGAAGGCAGCUUGCUACAGGAAUAUUGACACUGAGGCACGAAAGCGUGGGGAUCAAACAGG